CCUACGGGUGGCAGCAGUAGGGAAUUUUGCGCAAUGGGGGAAACCCUGACGCAGCAACACCGCGUGAAUGUUAAGCCCUUCGGGGUGUAAAGUUCUGUCAAUAGGGACGAAUUUUGACUGUACCUAUAAAGGAAGCACCGGCUAACUCCGUGCCAGCAGCCGCGGUAAUACGGAGGGUGCGAGCGUUAAUCGGAAUUACUGGGCGUAAAGCGCUCGUAGGCGGUAUGUCAAGUCAAGGGUGAAAUCCCCGCGCUCAACGUGGGAACUGCCUUUGAAACUGGCAAACUGGAGUGUGUGAGAGGAUAGUGGAAUUCCAGGUGUAGGAGUGAAAUCCGUAGAUAUCUGGAGGAACAUCAGUGGCGAAGGCGACUAUCUGGCACAUAACUGACGCUGAGGAGCGAAAGCGUGGGUAGCAAACAGGAUUAGAUACCCGUGUAGUC
Molecule: ribosomal RNA, 440 nt
Filed under: uncultured bacterium
Lineage: Bacteria
Description: partial 16S ribosomal RNA
Rfam family: Bacterial small subunit ribosomal RNA
Source: RNAcentral